This is a non-coding RNA of Pelobates cultripes (western spadefoot toad), 253 nucleotides long. The record is from the annotation of a GenBank genome assembly. NCBI's taxonomy places the organism in Eukaryota, Metazoa, Chordata, Amphibia, Anura, Pelobatidae.
CCACUAUUCUCCAUAUCUCUUGCUGCAAUUGUAAUAGUACUGUGGAGACAGCCGUUUCUGAAGUAUGUACUUUAAUUGCAAAAGAUGCAGUUGGAUGUAUUGUCGCUAAAGCAGGUGCAACCUGUAAGUCUCUUUUAAGUACCUCAAAUGCAUUCUGAUGUUCAUCUGUCCAUGGUCCAAAUGAAGAUUCACUAUUUUUCAAGAGAUCAUAUAAAGGUUUGGCUUUUUCAGCGAACCCUUCAAUAAAUUCUCU